Molecule: ribosomal RNA, 468 nt
Filed under: uncultured bacterium
Lineage: Bacteria
Description: partial 16S ribosomal RNA
Rfam family: Bacterial small subunit ribosomal RNA
Source: RNAcentral
GACGAACGCUGGCGGCGUGCCUAACACAUGCAAGUCGAACGGCAAGGCCCUGCUUUUGUGGGGUUCUCGAGUGGCGAACGGGUGAGUAACACGUGAGUAUCCUGCCCUUGUCUUUGGGAUAACUUCACGAAACUGGGGCUAAUACCGGAUAGGAGCUCCUGCUCCAUGGUGGGGGUUGGAAAGUUUCGGCGGUUGGGGAUGGACUCGCGGCUUAUGGGCUUGUUGGUGGGGUAGUGGCUUACCAAGGCUUUGACGGGUAGCCGGCCUGGGAGGGUGACCGGCCACCAUGCGACUGAGGGAGGGAGCAGACGCCAACGGGAGGCAGUAGUGGGAAAUAUUGCACAGUGGGAGGGAGCCUGAGACAGAGGCGCCGCGUGCGGAAAGACGUCCUUCGGGUUAAAAACCGCUUUCGCCUGUGACGAAGCGUGAGUGACGGUAAUGAGUAAAGAAGCACCGGCUAACUACGUG